Molecule: ribosomal RNA, 484 nt
Filed under: uncultured bacterium
Lineage: Bacteria
Description: partial 16S ribosomal RNA
Rfam family: Bacterial small subunit ribosomal RNA
Source: RNAcentral
AUUGAACGCUGGCGGCAGGCCUAACACAUGCAAGUCGAGCGGAUGAAGGGAGCUUGCUCCUGGAUUCAGCGGCGGACGGGUGAGUAAUGCCUAGGAAUCUGCCUGGUAGUGGGGGAUAACGUCCGGAAACGGGCGCUAAUACCGCAUACGUCCUGAGGGAGAAAGUGGGGGAUCCUCGGACCUCACGCUAUCAGAUGAGCCUAGGUCGGAUUAGCUAGUUGGUGGGGUAAAGGCUUACCAAGGCGCCGAUCCGUAACUGGUCUGAGAGGAUGAUCAGUCACACUGGAACUGAGACACGGUCCAGACUCCUACGGGAGGCAGCAGUGGGGAAUAUUGGACAAUGGGCGAAAGCCUGAUCCAGCCAUGCCGCGUGUGUGAAGAAGGUCUUCGGAUUGUAAAGCACUUUAAGUUGGGAGGAAGGGCAGUAAGUUAAUACCUUGCUGUUUUGACGUUACCAACAGAAUAAGCACCGGCUAACUUCGUG